UACAGAGGGGGCAAGCGUUGUUCGGAAUUACUGGGCGUAAAGGGCGCGUAGGCGGCCUGUUAAGUCGAACGUGAAAUCCCCGGGCUCAACCCCGGGCCUGCAGUCGAUACGGGCAGGCUAGAGUCCGGCAGGGGAGACUGGAAUUCCUGGUGUAGCGGUGAAAUGCGCAGAUAUCGGGAGGAACACCAGUGGCGAAGGCGACUACCUGGCCUGUUCUUGACGCUGAGGCGCGAAAGCUAGGGGAGCAAACGGG
This 253-nucleotide ribosomal RNA is filed under the name uncultured bacterium. RNAcentral describes it as "partial 16S ribosomal RNA". It matches the Rfam family "Bacterial small subunit ribosomal RNA", at positions 524 to 776 of the family's 1533-position model. The record is from RNAcentral.